This 253-nucleotide ribosomal RNA is filed under the name uncultured bacterium. Its description in RNAcentral is "partial 16S ribosomal RNA". It matches the Rfam family "Bacterial small subunit ribosomal RNA", at positions 524 to 776 of the family's 1533-position model. The record is from RNAcentral.
GACAGAGGUGCCAAGCGUUAGGCGGAAUCACUGGGCUUAAAGCGUGUGUAGGCGGAUUGGUAAGUACCUUGUGAAAUCCCACAGCUCAACUGUGGAACUGCUCGGUAUACUGCCUGUCUUGAGCCACUUAGGGGCUGUCGGAACAAACGGUGGAGCGGUGAAAUUCGUAGAUAUCGGGAGGAACACCGAUGGCGAAGGCAGCUCGCUGGGACGGUACUGACGCUGAGACGCGAAAGCGUGGGGAGCGAACAGG